RNAcentral lists this ribosomal RNA (1085 nucleotides) under Cellulosimicrobium sp. RNAcentral describes it as "bacterial SSU rRNA". It matches the Rfam family "Bacterial small subunit ribosomal RNA", at positions 383 to 1474 of the family's 1533-position model. The record is from RNAcentral. Lineage: Bacteria; Bacillati; Actinomycetota; Actinomycetes; Micrococcales; Promicromonosporaceae.
CUGAUGCAAGGACCCCGCNUNNNGGAUGACGGCCUUCGGGUUGUAAANCNCUUUCAGCAGGGAAGAAGNNCAAGUGACGGUACCUGCAGAAGAAGCGCCGGCUAACUACGUGCCAGCAGCCGCGGUAAUACGUAGGGCGCAAGCGUUGUCCGGAAUUAUUGGGCGUAAAGAGCUCGUAGGCGGUUUGUCGCGUCUGGUGUGAAAACUCGAGGCUCAACCUCGAGCUUGCAUCGGGUACGGGCAGACUAGAGUGCGGUAGGGGAGACUGGAAUUCCUGGUGUAGCGGUGGAAUGCGCAGAUAUCAGGAGGAACACCGAUGGCGAAGGCAGGUCUCUGGGCCGCAACUGACGCUGAGGAGCGAAAGCAUGGGGAGCGAACAGGAUUAGAUACCCUGGUAGUCCAUGCCGUAAACGUUGGGCACUAGGUGUGGGGCUCAUUCCACGAGUUCCGUGCCGCAGCAAACGCAUUAAGUGCCCCGCCUGGGGAGUACGGCCGCAAGGCUAAAACUCAAAGGAAUUGACGGGGGCCCGCACAAGCGGCGGAGCAUGCGGAUUAAUUCGAUGCAACGCGAAGAACCUUACCAAGGCUUGACAUGCACGGGAAGCCACCAGAGAUGGUGGUCUCUUUGGACACUCGUGCACAGGUGGUGCAUGGUUGUCGUCAGCUCGUGUCGUGAGAUGUUGGGUUAAGUCCCGCAACGAGCGCAACCCUCGUCCCAUGUUGCCAGCGGGUUAUGCCGGGGACUCAUGGGAGACUGCCGGGGUCAACUCGGAGGAAGGUGGGGAUGACGUCAAAUCAUCAUGCCCCUUAUGUCUUGGGCUUCACGCAUGCUACAAUGGCCGGUACAAAGGGCUGCGAUACCGUAAGGUGGAGCGAAUCCCAAAAAGCCGGUCUCAGUUCGGAUUGGGGUCUGCAACUCGACCCCAUGAAGUCGGAGUCGCUAGUAAUCGCAGAUCAGCAACGCUGCGGUGAAUACGUUCCCGGGCCUUGUACACACCGCCCGUCAAGUCACGAAAGUCGGUAACACCCGAAGCCCAUGGCCCAACCGGUUCGCCGGGGGGAGUGGUCGAAGGUGGGACUGGCGA